This 378-nucleotide unclassified non-coding RNA is filed under the name uncultured bacterium. RNAcentral describes it as "contains 16S-23S intergenic spacer region". The record is from RNAcentral.
UCCGGCUUAUCACCGGCAGUCCCCUUAGAGUGCCCAACUAAAUGAUGGCAACUAGGGGCGAGGGUUGCGCUCGUUGCGGGACUUAACCCAACAUCUCACGACACGAGCUGACGACAGCCAUGCAGCACCUGUCUUGGGACUCCGAAGAGGGGCCGUGGUUUCUCACGGCUUUCCCCAAGAUGUCAAGCCCAGGUAGGGUUCUUCGCGUUGCGUCGAAUUAAACCACAUGCUCCACCGCUUGUGCGGGCCCCCGUCAAUUCCUUUGAGUUUCAGUCUUGCGACCGUACUCCCCAGGCGGCCAACUUAACGCGUUAGCUUCGACACUGAGCUCCGAAGUGAGCCCAACGUCCAGUUGGCAUCGUUUAGGGCGUGGACUAA